This 496-nucleotide ribosomal RNA is filed under the name uncultured bacterium. Its description in RNAcentral is "partial 16S ribosomal RNA". It matches the Rfam family "Bacterial small subunit ribosomal RNA", at positions 28 to 507 of the family's 1533-position model. The record is from RNAcentral.
GAUGAACGCUGGCGGCGUGCCUAAUACAUGCAAGUCGAGCGAACAGAUGAGGAGCUUGCUCCUCUGACGUUAGCGGCGGACGGGUGAGUAACACGUGGAUAACCUACCUAUAAGACUGGGAUAACUUCGGGAAACCGGAGCUAAUACCGGAUAAUAUAUUGAACCGCAUGGUUCAAUAGUGAAAGACGGUUUUGCUGUCACUUAUAGAUGGAUCCGCGCCGCAUUAGCUAGUUGGUAAGGUAACGGCUUACAAGGCAACGAUGCGAAGCCGACCUGAGAGGGUGAUCGGCCACACUGGAACUGAGACACGGUCCAGACUCCUACGGGAGGCAGCAGUAGGGAAUCUUCCGCAAUGGGCGAAAGCCUGACGGAGCAACGCCGCGUGAGUGAUGAAGGUCUUCGGAUCGUAAAACUCUGUUAUUAGGGAAGAACAAAUGUGUAAGUAACUAUGCACGUCUUGACGGUACCUAAUCAGAAAGCCACGGCUAACUACGUG